Molecule: ribosomal RNA, 293 nt
Filed under: uncultured bacterium
Lineage: Bacteria
Description: partial 16S ribosomal RNA
Rfam family: Archaeal small subunit ribosomal RNA
Source: RNAcentral
GUGCCAGGCGCCGCGGUAAUACCGGCAGCCCAAGUGAUGGCCGAUCUUAUUGGGCCUAAAGCGUCCGUAGCUGGCCGCGCAAGUCCAUCGGAAAAUCCACCCGCCCAACGGGUGGGCGUCCGGUGGAAACUGCGUGGCUUGGGACCGGAAGGCGCGACGGGUACGUCCGGGGUAGGAGUGAAAUCCCGUAAUCCUGGACGGACCGCCGAUGGCGAAACCACCUCAGGAGAACGGAUCCGACAGUGAGGGACGAAAGCCAGGGUCUCGAACCGGAUUAGAUACCCGUGUAGUCC